Molecule: ribosomal RNA, 253 nt
Filed under: uncultured bacterium
Lineage: Bacteria
Description: partial 16S ribosomal RNA
Rfam family: Bacterial small subunit ribosomal RNA
Source: RNAcentral
UACGAAGGGUGCUAGCGUUGUUCGGAAUCACUGGGCGUAAAGCGUGCGUAGGCGGCUUUACAAGUCAGGGGUGAAAUGCCAAGGCUUAACCUUGGAACUGCCUUUGAAACUGUAAAGCUGGAGUGUCGGAGGGGAUAGCGGAAUUUCUAAUGUAGCGGUGAAAUGCGUAGAUAUUAGAAGGAACACCGGUGGCGAAGGCGGCUAUCUGGACGACAACUGACGCUGAGGCACGAAAGCGUGGGGAUCAAACAGG